CCUACGGGUGGCAGCAGUGGGGAAUAUUGGACAAUGGACCGAGAGUCUGAUCCAGCAAUUCUGUGUGCACGAUGAAGCUUUUCGGAAUGUAAAGUGCUUUCAGUUGGGAAGAAAGAAAUGACGGUACCAACAGAAGAAGUGACGGCUAAAUACGUGCCAGCAGCCGCGGUAAUACGUAUGUCACGAGCGUUAUCCGGAUUUAUUGGGCGUAAAGCGCGUCUAGGUGGUUAUGUAAGUCUGAUGUGAAAAUGCAAGGCUCAACUCUGUAUUGCGUUGGAAACUGUAUAACUAGAGUACUGGAGAGGUAAGCGGAACUACAAGUGUAGAGGUGAAAUUCGUAGAUAUUUGUAGGAAUGCCGAUGGGGAAGCCAGCUUACUGGACAGAUACUGACGCUAAAGCGCGAAAGCGUGGGUAGCAAACAGGAUUAGAUACCCUAGUAGUC
Molecule: ribosomal RNA, 443 nt
Filed under: uncultured Fusobacterium sp.
Lineage: Bacteria; Fusobacteriati; Fusobacteriota; Fusobacteriia; Fusobacteriales; Fusobacteriaceae
Description: bacterial SSU rRNA
Rfam family: Bacterial small subunit ribosomal RNA
Source: RNAcentral